GCUCAGGAUGAACGCUAGCGGCAGGCUUACACAUGCAAGUCGAACGGUAAGGAUCACUUCGGUGAUUACACGAGUGGCGCACGGGUGCGUAACGCGUAUGCAACCUACCUUUAACAGGAGGAUAGCUCCGAGAAAUUGGGAUUAAUACUCCAUAAUAUUAUUUUAUUGCAUGAUAAAAUAAUUAAAGCUACGGCGGUUAAAGAUGGGCAUGCGUGACAUUAGCUGGUUGGUAAGGUAACGGCUUACCAAAGCGACGAUGUCUAGGGGGUCUGAGAGGAUGAUCCCCCACACUGGUACUGAGACACGGACCAGACUCCUACGGGAGGCAGCAGUGAGGAAUAUUGGUCAAUGGACGCAAGUCUGAACCAGCCAUGCCGCGUGCAGGAUUGACGGCCCUAUGGGUUGUAAACUGCUUUUAUUUGGGAAGAAAGGUCGCUACGAGUAGUGAUUUGACGGUACCAUUUGAAUAAGCACCGGCUAACUCCGUGCCAGCAGCCGCGGUAAUACGGAGGGUGCAAGCGUUAUCCGGAUUCAUUGGGUUUAAAGGGUGCGUAGGCUGAUAGAUAAGUCAGUGGUGAAAUCUUGCGGCUUAACCGUAAAACUGCCAUUGAUACUGUUUAUCUAGAGUACAUAUGAGGUAGGCGGAAUAUAGUAUGUAGCGGUGAAAUGCAUAGAUAUACUAUAGAACACCGAUUGCGAAGGCAGCUUACUAAAUUGUUACUGACGCUGAGGCACGAAAGCGUGGGGAGCGAACAGGAUUAGAUACCCUGGUAGUCCACGCAGUAAACGAUGAUUACUCGAUGUUGGCGAUACACUGUCAGCGUCUGCGCGAAAGCAUUAAGUAAUCCACCUGGGGAGUACGAUCGCAAGGUUGAAACUCAAAGGAAUUGACGGGGGCCCGCACAAGCGGAGGAGCAUGUGGUUUAAUUCGAUGAUACGCGAGGAACCUUACCUGGGCUUAAAUGUAGUGUGCAUUAGCGAUGAAAAUCCUAUUUCCUUCGGGACCCACUACAAGGUGCUGCAUGGUUGUCGUCAGCUCGUGCCGUGAGGUGUCGGGUUAAGUCCCAUAACGAGCGCAACCCCUAUUCUUAGUUGCCAUCAGGUAAUGCUGGGGACUCUAAGAAAACUGCCGGCGCAAGCCGUGAGGAAGGUGGGGAUGACGUCAAAUCAGCACGGCCCUUAUGUCCAGGGCUACACACGUGCUACAAUGGUCGGCACAAAGGGCAGCUACACAGCGAUGUGAUGCUAAUCUCCAAAGCCGAUCCUAGUUCGGAUCGAAGUCUGCAAUUCGACUUCGUGAAGUUGGAUUCGCUAGUAAUCGUAUAUCAGCAAUGAUACGGUGAAUAUGUUCCCGGGCCUUGUACACACCGCCCGUCAAGCCAUGGAAGCUGAGGGUACCUGAAGUUUGUGAUCCGUCUUUGAUGGAAGCGACCUUAAGGUAAAAUUACUGACUGGGGCUAAGUC
RNAcentral lists this ribosomal RNA (1464 nucleotides) under uncultured organism. Its description in RNAcentral is "bacterial SSU rRNA". It matches the Rfam family "Bacterial small subunit ribosomal RNA". The record is from RNAcentral.